Long non-coding RNA from Triticum dicoccoides, 1853 nucleotides. RefSeq lists it as uncharacterized. The transcript has 3 exons. Lineage: Eukaryota; Viridiplantae; Streptophyta; Magnoliopsida; Poales; Poaceae. The record is from RefSeq and is a predicted model, not a curated record.
CCCGUGCACCACCUACCUCCGCCGCCGCCCAGCCCCACCACCUACCCGCCCACCACCUACCUUCCGUGCAGCCCUGUCCCCUCCCUGGUCUGCACGUCGACCAGAUAUGAUGGCCCCGAACGAGCCGCACCGCCCCAACUCUCAUCUGCGUAGCAACUGGAUCUGAGCUGCCCCCACACCGCCGUCCACAUAAGGCAGGGCCGACGCUGCCCCACCCAGGCCACCCACCACGAGAUCCAGCGCGUCGCCGCAUCAACACCCACACCUCGGGCACGCUGAAUCGAGGUCGAUGCGGGUCAAAGGCACGCCGAGGACGAGCAGCAGGCCGAGUGAUUAGUGCCGGAUGUCACCGGAUCCGUCCCGGCGGGAUCCAUAUCGCAGGUGUGGGGGUGGGCACAGGGACGAGGAAGUGUGCUCCCUCGGGCAUCCAACUGGCGAGAUCCGGAUCCCCCGGUGGCCAUCGGGUCCUUGCUGGCCUCUUGGACCGAUGAUGUCCACCCACUGCAUAUGUCGCUGCUGCUACGUGACAGUGAGGUCAGGACCACGAUGCCGUGCAGUUCCGUAGGCCAUGCAGCUCAUGAUGAGCAACUUGUAGUUUGAUGCGGCUGGUGCGGCGUUCCACGUGUCCCCUGGCACCCUUACCUGCAGUCUGAUGACCACCACCAUGGAGCCCGCGACCACGACCGUGCAGUUAACUUCCUGUCGCAGUUCAGUAAGUGGCGGCUCAACGACCACCAUCUGCCUUGCGUGGCCUGCCUUGACAGAGCUCCGACGAGCACCUUCCAACGGCGUGAUCCUCUAGCGAGCUCACCCGCGAGGGCCUCUGGCGAGAUCCUUCACCCCCCUCGACCACCUUCUUCUGUAAAAUCGAGUAGCCAAUCUCCUGCAGUUUUGUGGGUGCCACACUACUGCGUGCAUGCAUCCCGUUUCCUGCUCCUCUCCACCCUCCCUAGAGUAGAAGGCAUGCAGCUUGCCGGGUGCUGGCGUGUGUUUUUGCAGGUCCUACCAUCCUAGCAACUGAUUGGUCACCCCUUUUCAGCGAGCACUACGUGCAGUGCGGGUGACGAACCUCACUUGCAGCUCUCUCCUCCACUCCUUGUUGUUCGCGGGAAGCAGGGGACAAGCGCACUGCACUAGCGGUGGCCGGUGUAAUACUUUUUUUAAGUAGUUCAUCUUAUUAUGUCUUCCUUUAGUAGUCAUCUUGCUGUAUGUUUUAGUUUGACCAUGUUUAUGCAUGCAGCUCUUUGCUGGUUUGGGUGCAGCUCGCAGGCAUUUGUGUAUGCAGAUGUUUUCUUGUCUAGAGAGAAUCGGCAGUACCCGAAUUUGGCGUGUGACUACGGUCCACGGGACAGGGACCUGCAGCUCUCUCUCCCUCUCGUGGAAGUACAUCACGAGCAAAAGGUGCCUGGAGGUGGGCGAGGUCCUGGCCUUCGAACUCCCUGUGCCUCCUCCCUUCUACUAAAGUCAUUGGUCGCUGGCGUGAUGCUGGACCAGGCGACGAGGGCACUGGAUGGGUCAUGCUCUUUUGCACUCGAGCGCAUGUGGUCUUGUAGUCCGCAACGUGCAAUCCCGCAGCUCGGCCCUCGCAUGCGUGCACUUCAUGUUUUUUCCUUACAAACAUGUACUGCAUCCCUGCCCACAAGCAUCACUAAAGCAGAAGCUGCGCCCCACGGGUGAAAGUUGGCCAGUUGGGGGUAUGGUGUUUGGUCAUGGUGGCUGCUGACAUUGGUUAGAGGUAGUCCACGACGGAGUCUAUGUCCAAACAGACUGGAUAAUAUUGGUUUUCAUUUUAGGUCCUUUUUUGCAAUUUAUCCUGGUAUAUAGAAGUUCAUUUUAGUGGUCUUGGUUGUACA